AACUAUCAGAUGGCGCCUGCCCUCUCUCCCUCAAAUAAAAUAACAGUAGCCCUCACCUUUAAUUCCCUUCAUAAGCUCCCUUUUCAUUCUCCUUUACCACUCCCUAAAUGCAAAGAAUGGAAGCUGGUGAAACAGACCCUCCCUCCUCUUAUUCUCACGCAUAACCAUGCAGCACACCUCUAUUCAUUCCCCUCCUAAUAACUCCAUUUAGUCACACUUCAUUUGCAUGCCUCCAUGCAGCAAAGGGCAGCCAUAUAUUCCCCUCUUUCUCUUUCUCACGCACACCAUCAGCAGGGCACAUCCUCCUAUUCUCCUCUCCCCCACGCCACCACCAGAGGAGGCUCAUCUCCUCCCCUCCAUCAGAUGGGUGCCCCUCCUCCUCUCCUUUCCCCAUGGAGGCGGUUCCAACUCCCUCUCCUUCCCCUUCCCUCUCAGUGCAACAAUUUGGUAUUGCCACUACACAUCGAAACUCAUCACUGGAAUUCCAGUGCAUCAUGCCAUGGUAAGGAGUUUCUCCUUCUCUGUUCUUCAUCAUGAAGCUCUUAUUCACUGUCCCCUCUCCGUUGUGACUCCCCAGGGCUACAUAGCAGAGCUGCAGCACUUCAUGGAUGCCACCCCAGCAUGCCUUGUUGUUUUCCCGAACCAGCAGCCCC
This 653-nucleotide long non-coding RNA is filed under the name Sorghum bicolor (sorghum). Its description in RNAcentral is "long non-coding RNA (SBIC_LNC016296)". The record is from RNAcentral. Lineage: Eukaryota; Viridiplantae; Streptophyta; Magnoliopsida; Poales; Poaceae.